Molecule: ribosomal RNA, 468 nt
Filed under: uncultured bacterium
Lineage: Bacteria
Description: partial 16S ribosomal RNA
Rfam family: Bacterial small subunit ribosomal RNA
Source: RNAcentral
GACGAACGCUGGCGGCGUGCUUAACACAUGCAAGUCGAACGGAAAGGCCCUGCUUUUGUGGGGUGCUCGAGUGGCGAACGGGUGAGUAACACGUGAGUAACCUGCCCUUGACUUUGGGAUAACUUCAGGAAACUGGGGCUAAUACCGCAUAGGAGCUCCUGCUGCAUGGUGGGGGUUGGAAAGUUUCGGCGGUUGGGGAUGGACUCGCGGCUUAUCAGCUUGUUGGUGGGGUAGUGGCUUACCAAGGCUUUGACGGGUAGCCGGCCUGAGAGGGUGACCGGCCACAUUGGGACUGAGAUACGGCCCAGACGCCUACGGGAGGCAGCAGUGGGGAAUAUUGCACAAUGGGCGGAAGCCUGAUGCAGCAACGCCGCGUGCGGGAUGACGGCCUUCGGGUUGUAAACCGCUUUCGCCUGUGACGAAGCGUGAGUGACGGUAAUGGGUAAAGAAGCACCGGCUAACUACGUG